GCCUUCGUGGUGUAACGGUAGCACACUCGGGGCGUAUUCGAGAGGUCCAGGUUCGAAUCCCUGCGAGGGCA
This 71-nucleotide transfer RNA is filed under the name Stegodyphus mimosarum. It matches the Rfam family "tRNA". From Rfam's summary of the family: Transfer RNA (tRNA) molecules are approximately 80 nucleotides in length. The record is from Rfam by way of RNAcentral. Lineage: Eukaryota; Metazoa; Arthropoda; Arachnida; Araneae; Eresidae.